UAGGGAAUCUUCCACAAUGGACGCAAGUCUGAUGGAGCAACGCCGCGUGAGUGAAGAAGGUUUUCGGACCGUAAAGCUCUGUUGUUGGUGAAGAAGGAUAGAGGCAGUAACUGGUCUUUAUUUGACGGUAAUCAACCAGAAAGUCACGGCUAACUACGUGCCAG
RNAcentral lists this ribosomal RNA (164 nucleotides) under uncultured bacterium. Its description in RNAcentral is "partial 16S rRNA". It matches the Rfam family "Bacterial small subunit ribosomal RNA", at positions 355 to 511 of the family's 1533-position model. The record is from RNAcentral.